UGGGGAAUCUUGCGCAAUGGGCGAAAGCCUGACGCAGCAACGCCGCGUGAGCGAAGACGGCCUUCGGGUUGUAAAGCUCUGUCAGGAGGGACGAAGCCACUCAGGUGAAUAGCCGAGAGGGUGACGGUACCUCCAGAGGAAGCCCCGGCUAACUACGUGCCAGCAGCCGCGGUAAUACGUAGGGGGCGAGCGUUGUCCGGAAUCAUUGGGCGUAAAGCGCGUGUAGGCGGCCGACCAAGUCCGAUGUGAAAGCUCGGGGCUCAACCCCGAGUCUGCAUUGGAAACUGAUCGGCUAGAGUCCGGAAGAGGAGACUGGAAUUCCUGGUGUAGCGGUGAAAUGCGCAGAUAUCAGGAAGAACACCGGUGGCGAAGGCGGGUCUCUGGGACGGUACUGACGCUGAGACGCGAAAGCGUGGGGAGCAAACAGGAUUAGAUACCCUGGUAGUCCACGCCGUAAACGAUGGGCACUAGGUGUGGGAGGUGUCGACUCCUUCCGUGCCGUAGCUAACGCAUUAAGUGCCCCGCCUGGGGAGUACGGCCGCAAGGCUA
Molecule: ribosomal RNA, 549 nt
Filed under: uncultured bacterium
Lineage: Bacteria
Description: bacterial SSU rRNA
Rfam family: Bacterial small subunit ribosomal RNA
Source: RNAcentral